UGCUCAAGGAGACGGGUGAUCUCAUCAGGAAUCUCUUCAACGUCAUCUUCUUCUGCCUCAAAUACAGGGAAUUCAAAAUUGGGAGAUGGCGUUGGAUCAUUAUGUUCAAUGGGUUUUAGGAUCAACCUGCAUAAUGAUUUUGGUUAAGAAAAAUUCAGCAUUUAAACAAGCAAAUCAUUAUGCAGAUGAAAGAAUGUUGCUUUUACAGCUUUUAUUUUUGUU
This 222-nucleotide long non-coding RNA is filed under the name Lathyrus oleraceus (garden pea). Its description in RNAcentral is "Pisum sativum (pea) long non-coding RNA (PSAT_LNC040795)". The record is from RNAcentral. Lineage: Eukaryota; Viridiplantae; Streptophyta; Magnoliopsida; Fabales; Fabaceae.